AAAAUGUUCCAGCACAAAAUAACAAGGAGUGUCUGACUCUGACAGUAAAUAUUCAUAUCAGAUGCUUUAAAUAGUGCUGCAUAUACAUAUAAGGUGUUAGUUCUACAGUUCAGGAUAGUUCAGUUCUCACCUACUCAUCAUGUUGAAGCUGAUCCUCUCUGUGACCGUCCUCUGGACAUUCUUCAGUCAAGCUGCAGCACUUGAUUGUCUAAGUUGCAAUGGUACAUGUUCAACUGAAACUACAGUUACAUGUUCUACAGAAACUAUGUGUGUAACUGCCACCAUCACAGAUGUUUUAGCUGAAGAUGAGAGUUUUUUCAAAGGAUGUGCUCCUCCCACACUGUGUCCACACAACGGCACCUUUAACUUUUCUACUGAUGUGUUUGAUUCACAUAAAAUCAUAGAUGCUGAAUGCUGCGACACAAACAACUGCAACUCAGAAACUCUGCCUGUUCCUGUUCAACAGGAAACAAAUGGACUUGAGUGUUACGUCUGUAUCUUCUUCUCUGGAUCCAACGUUUGUACAGCGUUUACUGUCCAAUGUAAAGGAGCACAGGAUCGCUGCUUUAUUGGAUCUGCCUCAACUGAUAAUGGAGUUCUACUUGUUGCUGGCUGCACAUCAACAGAUGUGUGUGAUAUUGCUCCUGAUCACGGUGUACUGCCAUUUAUGGAAGAAGUGGGAAAUCUAACCAGUGGACCAACCUGUUGUGGAACAAACCGCUGCAACGUCUAGGCAGCAACAACUGGACCAACUACAACUCCCUAACACCAGCAACUGUUCUGCUACUUAUUCUGCUACUGUUUAAUGUGAACUGGUUAAAAAAAUAUUUACUGCUUUUCUACUUGGAACUGUAAUCCAAGUCUUUAAAUCAAAAAUAAUAAUCAAUGAUUUAAUGAAUCAACUAUUAAUAUGUUAUAGAGGGUGAACAUUUAUUUUUACAGAUAGACAUUAUUUUCCAGGUUAUGUAUUUGUAAUACUCUUGACUUUCUACAUUUUGCAAAAAACAACAAUGAUAAUAAUAAUGCUGCUUUACUCUGAACAGCAGUGGUACCAAGGGUAAAUUAAAUGAUUAAUGUGUCAAACUAACUAUGUCACUUGUUAUCUGGGAAAAAUGAAAUGAAAUAAAGAUUUACUCUAACUGUAAUGUAACA
Gouania willdenowi (blunt-snouted clingfish) is the source of this 1152-nucleotide long non-coding RNA. NCBI's taxonomy places the organism in Eukaryota, Metazoa, Chordata, Actinopteri, Blenniiformes, Gobiesocidae. The record is from Ensembl.